AUGAGACUUUGGUUGUAUCUCGUUCUCAUUGCAGCAGUGUUUGAAGGUGCCCUUUCACAAGUGCAGCUGGUGGAGUCUGGAGGGGAUGUGAAAAGGCCCGGAGACUCUCUCCGCCUCUCCUGCAAAGCCUCCGGCUUCACCUUCAGCAGCAACUGGAUGCACUGGGUCCGUCAGGCCCCCGGGAAGGGACUGGAGUGGAUCGCCCGGAUUUACAGUUCUAGCAUAAACUACAGUGACUCAGUAAAAGGCCGAUUUACCAUCUCCAGGGAUGAUUCCAAGAGUGAGCUUUAUCUGCAAAUGACCGGCCUGAAGCCCGAGGACACCGCCCGCUAUUACUGUGCGACACACA
Chrysemys picta bellii (western painted turtle) is the source of this 349-nucleotide non-coding RNA. The record is from the annotation of a RefSeq genome assembly. NCBI's taxonomy places the organism in Eukaryota, Metazoa, Chordata, Testudines, Emydidae.